Molecule: signal recognition particle RNA, 96 nt
Filed under: Candidatus Adiutrix sp.
Lineage: Bacteria; Pseudomonadati; Thermodesulfobacteriota; Desulfarculia; Candidatus Adiutricales; Candidatus Adiutricaceae
Description: signal recognition particle sRNA small type
Rfam family: Bacterial small signal recognition particle RNA
About the family: The signal recognition particle (SRP) is a universally conserved ribonucleoprotein involved in the co-translational targeting of proteins to membranes.
Source: RNAcentral
CCCUCGGCUUUGCGUGACGCACCCUUACUAACCCCGUCAGAUCCGGGAGGAAGCAGCGGUCCGUGCCGGGCGCGUGCCGUGGAUUACCGGGGGGUU